GAUGAACGCUAGCUACAGGCUUAACACAUGCAAGUCGCAGGGUAACAUGAGGAAAGCUUGCUUUCCUUGNAUGACGACUGGCGCACGGGUGAGUAACGCGUAUCCAACCUUCCCAUAACUACGGGAUAACCCGUUGAAAGACGGCCUAAUACCGUAUGAUAUCGUUUGCUGACAUCAAAUAACGAUUAAAGGUUUAGCGGUUAUGGAUGGGGAUGCGUCUGAUUAGCUUGUUGGCGGGGUAACGGCCCACCAAGGCGACGAUCAGUAGGGGUUCUGAGAGGAAGGUCCCCCACAUUGGAACUGAGACACGGUCCAAACUCCUACGGGAGGCAGCAGUGAGGAAUAUUGGUCAAUGGGCGAGAGCCUGAACCAGCCAAGUAGCGUGCAGGAUGACGGCCCUAUGGGUUGUAAACUGCUUUUAUGCGGGGAUAAAG
RNAcentral lists this ribosomal RNA (434 nucleotides) under uncultured Bacteroidales bacterium. RNAcentral describes it as "bacterial SSU rRNA". It matches the Rfam family "Bacterial small subunit ribosomal RNA", at positions 28 to 451 of the family's 1533-position model. Lineage: Bacteria; Pseudomonadati; Bacteroidota; Bacteroidia; Bacteroidales. The record is from RNAcentral.